This 459-nucleotide ribosomal RNA is filed under the name Granulicatella elegans. Its description in RNAcentral is "bacterial SSU rRNA". It matches the Rfam family "Bacterial small subunit ribosomal RNA", at positions 28 to 468 of the family's 1533-position model. Lineage: Bacteria; Bacillati; Bacillota; Bacilli; Lactobacillales; Carnobacteriaceae. The record is from RNAcentral.
GACGAACGCUGGCAGCGUGCCUAAUACAUGCAAGUCGAACGAGAGCGACCGGUGCUUGCACUGGUCGAUCUAGUGGCGAACGGGUGAGUAACACGUGGGUAACCUGCCCAUCAGAGGGGGAUAACAUUCGGAAACGGAUGCUAAAACCGCAUAGGUUCUACAGUCGCAUGACUGAAGAAGGAAAAGAGGCUUCGGCUUCUGCUGAUGGAUGGACCCGCGGUGCAUUAGCUAGUUGGUGAGGUAACGGCUCACCAAGGCCGUGAUGCAUAGCCGACCUGAGAGGGUGAUCGGCCACAUUGGGACUGAGACACGGCCCAAACUCCUACGGGAGGCAGCAGUAGGGAAUCUUCCGCAAUGGACGCAAGUCUGACGGAGCAACGCCGCGUGAGUGAAGAAGGAUUUCGGUUCGUAAACCUCUGUUGUUAGAGAAGAACAGCGCAUAGAGUAACUGUUAUGCGU